Lagopus leucura (white-tailed ptarmigan) is the source of this 1027-nucleotide long non-coding RNA. RefSeq lists it as uncharacterized. The transcript is spliced from 8 exons. NCBI's taxonomy places the organism in Eukaryota, Metazoa, Chordata, Aves, Galliformes, Phasianidae. The record is from RefSeq and is a predicted model, not a curated record.
CUGGGAUCUCCUCUGCUAGCUCUUGCUCCUGAUUAACACAGAUGAUUGAUGCUUGCCUGCUUUGGGGUGCUGCAAGAUGUUAAAAUGCCUGAGAUUGUGUGAUACCUAUGAUGCUGAAGGAAAGGCCACAGUUGUCUUUACCCUGCAAUCAGUUUCAUCAAGAGGGCAGUGGAGCCUUUACUAAACAUCCUGGAUCAUGUCAUAAGGGACGCAACACAUCAGCAAUAACAAGGCGUGAUGACGAUAUGUCUGAGGGUUACAAAGAUCAUGGAUUCCUUGGAUAUUUUCUUUUCUUUCCUUCUGGGGCUUGAGUGAUGAAAGCAUGGCCUAUGUGGCCCCAGUAAGUGAAGUACUGAAACUCUGGUCCACUCGGAUUGAAGUGAACAGACAGGGAAACAACACGAAACAAGUUUGUGUGAUGCCGGCAAGUCUCACCGCAGUGAGGCAUUCACUUAUCCUUCCCUCCUGUCUGCGUGUUCACUUUGACCACCUUGCCUGGCUUUUCAACAAGCGUUUUAUGUCCUGAUCAUUGAUCAGUGGAGAAUGCUCGAUGUGUUCAUUAUGGUUCUGCAGACAACUAUAUUGUUCCUUGGGACGACUGUACAUCCAUCCGUUGCUAAUCAGUGGCAUGCUGAGGAUUUUCCAUUAUUGAAGAUGUUGGAGGCAAGUCUAUCAGUAUGAGCCUAAGGCUCCAAGCAGCCGACUGGAAUGUAUAUCGCCAGAUAUGUUGAUUUACAGUCCUUUGGAUGUUGAUGACUUGCCCUAUCAUACAGGGCAGCGAUGUGAAGCCACUUCAUCUCCUUCUGUUCUGCUGACUGUGCGCCAUGUCCAAGGUUGCUAAUGAUUUGGAAGUUCCCAACUACUGAAAUGUGGCCCCUUAAGCCAGUGGUAACGGGCUGAGAAGAAAAUGCUGCAUUGUGAGAAAAGGUACUAAGAUACUCAAGAGUCCUGAAGAAACAAUCUCAAAUUCACAAUGCACUGUCCUGCAUUUCCAACCACUGGCUGAGGCUGCAGAGAUAAGGAUUAU